UGAUAUUGGAUGCAAACUGCUGAUAAACUCCACAGAAGACGAAGAAGAUGACAGAAAACUGUGAAAAACAGCAAUUACAUGGAAGCUACACGAAGAAGAGGUCUGGAAAAUGAAUUCUGUUUUCGGGAUACAAAGGUCAGAGCAUCUUGAUCAGAGGUCUGCCAUGGAUUCCCCCGAGGAGAGGCACAUUGUAGGACCCCUUGUACACAGUUCAUUUGAAAGGAUCAUUUGACUCACCUGUGUUAUUGUCAUCAUCAACCAACAUUGUUAAUAAACAUUACAUGACAUUCUUAAGUGAGAUUACAUUAGGUGAGAUUACAUUAGGUUACAUUAGGUGAGAUUACAUUAGGUGAGAUUACAUUAGGUUACAUUAGGUGAGAUUACAUUAGGUUACAUUAGGUGAGAUUACAUUAGGUUACAUUAGGUGAGAUUACAUUAGGUUACAUUAGGUGAGAUUACAUUAGGUUACAUUAGGUGAGAUUACAUUAGGUGAGAUUACAUUAGGUGAGAUUACAUUAGGUUACAUUAGGUGAGAUUACAUUAGGUGAGAUUACAUUAGGUUACAUUAGGCUGCUACCACACCUGCAGUGCUAGCCACAGUAUCUUUUUCAGAAGACUGUAAGACCAUUUCAGAGCGGAUCAGAAUCCCACUUGUGAUUGGUGGAUUAUGUUUGUCUCCUAACGUUGCUUAAUUAAACUUGGAAUAUACUUCAUGCUCGGGAGGAAGAAAUUCAACAACUAUCUCUGGUUUUCAAUGCUCACAACUCUCAAAUCAACCACACACUUCUAGCACAUCAUGUUUCUGUUCUAUUAAUUAAUAGCGGUAUCUACCCUGUAUAUAAUCUGAACGUUUCAGAACUCUAUGACCUCAAUGUUAAAAUAGGUACUUUUUUUCUCCAUUUCCUGCUUUCAGUUUAGUUGUGUUUUACUUGAGGAAGGAUGCAAGCUGGGUUACACCAGUCUCAGAAGUUGUAUUUCUGUUUAGCUUAAAAGUAAUCUACCAUUAGGCUGCAAGUGUUGUAAAAGGUGUUGUUUUAAAAAAAAAAGUCCAGUGUACAAGGGGUCAAAAUGAGUCUCUCUGGGGAGAAUGAGGAGGCUGGCCCUCCCUCUAGUAUCUGUGAAGAGACUGAAGAGGAAGCCACUGCUUCUAGAAUGAGUCCCUCAGGGAGUGAGGGAGAAAUGUCCCUUAAAAGGAGUUUUCUUACAGAACAGGACACUGACAGGGAACAUAAGAGGAUCAAGACAGACAGACCAGUCUCGCCUGCACCUAGUGGUGUCUCCAUGAAGAGUGACCGAUCGAUGGGACUUCCUAUUCUCUUUAGGAAAGCAGAACUUUCCACGGAGCAAAGGUGAGUUCUGAGACUAUUCUUUC
Oncorhynchus masou masou (cherry salmon) is the source of this 1372-nucleotide long non-coding RNA. RefSeq lists it as uncharacterized. NCBI's taxonomy places the organism in Eukaryota, Metazoa, Chordata, Actinopteri, Salmoniformes, Salmonidae. The record is from RefSeq and is a predicted model, not a curated record. The transcript has 3 exons.